GCAAUUAUACAGCGAAACUGCGAAUGGCUCAUUAAAUCAGUUAUCGUUUAUUUGAUAGUACCUUACUACAUGGAUAACCGUGGUAAUUCUAGAGCUAAUACAUGCUAAAAACCCCGACUUCGGAAGGGGUGUAUUUAUUAGAUUAAAAACCAAUGCCCUUCGGGGCUCACUGGUGAUUCAUAAUAACUUCUCGAAUCGCACGGCCUUGCGCCGGCGAUGGUUCAUUCAAAUUUCUGCCCUAUCAACUUUCGACGGCUGGGUCUUGGCCAGCCGUGGUGACAACGGGUAACGGAGGGUUAGGGCUCGACCCCGGAGAAAACGCCUGAGAAACGGCGUUUACAUCCAAGGAAGGCAGCAGGCGCGCAAAUUACCCAAUGCCGACACGGCGAGGUAGUGACGAGAAAUACUGAUACAGGGCCCUUUUGGGUCUUGUAAUUGGAAUGAGUACAAUUUAAAUCUCUUAACGAGGAACAAUUGGAGGGCAAGUCUGGUGCCAGCAGCCGCGGUAAUUCCAGCUCCAAUAGCGUAUAUUAAAGUUGUUGCAGUUAAAAAGCUCGUAGUUGAACCUUGGGCCUGGCUGGCCGGUCCGCCUCACCGCGUGCACUGGUCCGGCCGGGCCUUUCCCUCUGGGGAACCGCAUGUCCUUCACUGGGCGUGUCGGGGAACCAGGACUUUUACUUUGAAAAAAUUAGAGUGUUCAAAGCAGGCCUAUGCUCGAAUACAUUAGCAUGGAAUAAUAGAAUAGACGUGUGGUUCUAUUUUGUUGGUUUCUAGGACCGCCGGUAAUGAUUAAUAGGGACAGUCGGGGGGCAUCAGUAUUCAUUUGUCAGAGUGAAAUUCUUGGUAUUAAUUGAAGACUAAACUACUGCGAAAGCAUUUGCCAAAGGAUG
RNAcentral lists this ribosomal RNA (890 nucleotides) under Macgarvieomyces borealis. RNAcentral describes it as "SSU rRNA". It matches the Rfam family "Eukaryotic small subunit ribosomal RNA", at positions 69 to 966 of the family's 1831-position model. The record is from RNAcentral. Lineage: Eukaryota; Fungi; Ascomycota; Sordariomycetes; Magnaporthales; Pyriculariaceae.